Molecule: non-coding RNA, 400 nt
Filed under: Selaginella moellendorffii
Lineage: Eukaryota; Viridiplantae; Streptophyta; Lycopodiopsida; Selaginellales; Selaginellaceae
Description: rRNA LSU_rRNA_eukarya
Rfam family: Eukaryotic large subunit ribosomal RNA
Source: Rfam by way of RNAcentral
UGUGCCGCAAUAGUAAUUCAACUUAGUACGAGAGGAACCGUUGAUUCGCACAAUUGGUAAUUGCGCUUGGUUGAAAAGCCAGUGGCGCGAAGCUACCAUGCGUGGGAUUAUGACUGAACGCCUCUAAGUCAGAAUCCGUGCUAGAUGCGGUGCUCUCUACCUCCUCAGCUGUUACCUGAUUAAGGUUAGGGGGGCCCCGUGCUCCCCCGAGAACACAUGACGCGAGCGCCGUCCCCCGGGGCCGAUGCUGCCCCGGGGGCGUGGCUUGGAAAUCCAAUUUCGAACGGUCGAGGAGAUAAAUCCUUUGCAGACGACUUAAAUAGGGGACGGGGUACUGUAAGUGGCAGAGUAGCCUUGCUGCUACGAUCCGCUGAGGUUCAUCCCUCUGUCCCACCGAUUU